RNAcentral lists this ribosomal RNA (253 nucleotides) under uncultured bacterium. RNAcentral describes it as "partial 16S ribosomal RNA". It matches the Rfam family "Bacterial small subunit ribosomal RNA", at positions 524 to 776 of the family's 1533-position model. The record is from RNAcentral.
UACGUAGGUGGCAAGCGUUGUCCGGAUUUACUGGGCGUAAAGAGCGCGCAGGCGGUCGUUCAAGUCGCGUGUGAAAGCCCCCGGCUCAACUGGGGAGGGUCACGCGAUACUGAUCGACUGGAAGGCAGGAGAGGGUAGUGGAAUUCCCGGUGUAGUGGUGAAAUGCGUAGAUAUCGGGAGGAACACCAGUGGCGAAGGCGACUACCUGGCCUGUUCUUGACGCUGAGGAGCGAAAGCGUGGGGAGCAAACAGG